Molecule: ribosomal RNA, 440 nt
Filed under: uncultured bacterium
Lineage: Bacteria
Description: partial 16S ribosomal RNA
Rfam family: Bacterial small subunit ribosomal RNA
Source: RNAcentral
CCUACGGGAGGCAGCAGUGGGGAAUAUUGCACAAUGGAGGAAACCCUGAUGCAGCAACGCCGCGUGAGUGAAGAAGUAAUUCGUUAUGUAAAGCUCUAUCAGCAGGGAAGAAAAUGACGGUACCUGAGUAAGAAGCAUCGGCUAACUACGUGCCAGCAGCCGCGGUAAUACGUAGGGGGCAAGCGUUAUCCGGAUUUACUGGGUGGAAAGGGAGCGUAGACGGCAGUGCAAGUCUGGAGUGAAAGGCGGGGGCUCAACCCCCGGACUGCUCUGGAAACUGUACGGCUGGAGUGCAGGAGAGGUAAGUGGAAUUCCUAGUGUAGCGGUGAAAUGCGUAGAUAUUAGGAGGAACACCAGUGGCGAAGGCGGCUUACUGGACUGUAACUGACGUUGAGGCUCGAAAGCGUGGGGAGCAAACAGGAUUAGAUACCCCAGUAGUC